UACGUAUGGGGCGAGCGUUGUCCGGAUUUACUGGGCGUAAAGGGCCCGCAGGCGGUGCGGCGCGUUUCGCGUGACAGCGGAGGGCUUAACUCUCCGAGGAUGCGAAAGACGGCGGCACUUGAGGGCCAGAGAGGGACACGGAAUUCCGGGUGGAGUGGUGAAAUGCGUAGAGAUCCGGAGGAACACCGAAGGCGAAGGCAGUGUCCUGGCUGGUGACUGACGCUGAGGUGCGAAAGCUAGGGGAGCGAACGGG
RNAcentral lists this ribosomal RNA (253 nucleotides) under uncultured bacterium. RNAcentral describes it as "partial 16S ribosomal RNA". It matches the Rfam family "Bacterial small subunit ribosomal RNA", at positions 524 to 776 of the family's 1533-position model. The record is from RNAcentral.